ACAGAGGGCCCGAGCGUUAAUCGGAAUCACUGGGCUUAAAGCGUACGCAGGCGGACAUGUAGGCAUUUUGUGAAAUCCCUCGGCUCAACCGAGGAAUUGCAGAGUGAACCACAUGUCUUGAGGCGAGUAGAGGCGGUCGGAACGAUAGGUGGAGCGGUGAAAUGCGUAGAUAUCUAUCGGAACGCCAAAGGUGAAGACAGGCCGCUGGGCUCGUCCUGACGCUGAGGUACGAAAGCGUGGGUAGCGAACGGG
This 252-nucleotide ribosomal RNA is filed under the name uncultured bacterium. RNAcentral describes it as "partial 16S ribosomal RNA". It matches the Rfam family "Bacterial small subunit ribosomal RNA", at positions 525 to 776 of the family's 1533-position model. The record is from RNAcentral.